RNAcentral lists this ribosomal RNA (497 nucleotides) under uncultured bacterium. RNAcentral's name for it is "partial 16S ribosomal RNA". It matches the Rfam family "Bacterial small subunit ribosomal RNA", at positions 28 to 507 of the family's 1533-position model. The record is from RNAcentral.
GACGAACGCUGGCGGCGUGCCUAAUACAUGCAAGUUGAGCGCUGAAGGUUGGUACUUGUACCAACUGGAUGAGCAGCGAACGGGUGAGUAACGCGUGGGGAAUCUGCCUUUGAGCGGGGGACAACAUUUGGAAACGAAUGCUAAUACCGCAUAAAAACUUUAAACACAAGUUUUAAGUUUGAAAGAUGCAAUUGCAUCACUCAAAGAUGAUCCCGCGUUGUAUUAGCUAGUUGGUGAGGUAAAGGCUCACCAAGGUGAGGAUACAUAGCCGACCUGGGAGGGGGAUCGGCCACAUUGGGACUGAGACACGGCCCAAACGCCUACGGGAGGCAGCAGUAGGGAAUCUUCGGCAAUGGACGAAAGUCUGACCGAGCAACGCCGCGUGAGUGAAGAAGGUUUUCGGAUCGUAAAAAUCUGUUGGUAGAGAAGAACGUUGGUGAGAGUGGAAAGCUCAUCAAGUGACGGUAACUACCCAGAAAGGGACGGCUAACUACGUG